UUUAUCUACAUGCAAGGAGUUAUUUCAAGCAAUUGUAAAGUGUGCUAUCAAUCUGUGCUCAAUGUUCACAUCACCAGCUGGGUCUCUUUUACUUUUAAUAUGGAUCCUAACUCUAAAACAUCCUUACUUAUUCCAGAUUUAUCUUGAAUUUUUCUCCUUACAAGAUAUGUACUUUUCUACUCUCCAAGGAUCCUGGUUCUUCUUGGAGAUCAAGAUUUGAGUGCUUAGAGUUGGUGAUUGGCAGGAUGCAGCUGACACUGUUGGGCCGCUUUCAGAAAUGAUAGCAUUCCAGAAAAAGCCAUGACCUCAACCUGAUAUUUCCAAUGAGAUCUUUCAUGCUGUUAUACCUUCUUUAUCCAUGAUUCAAUCAAUGAAUCAAUGAGCUGACUGGAGUUCCAGUGGCCACUAAGAUUUCCUAUCAUAUUGACAGCCUUAUUUAAUUUCUAUGACAAUUCUCUGAAAUAGACAUUGUUAUUCUAUUUGAAGAUGAUUGAAAGGGAAGAUCUUUAAAUACCUUGUCUAAGGCCAGAGAAGCAAAAGACUGGACAGAACUGGAUGCUAGCUUGUGAGUUUCCAAGUCAUGCUGUGUCCACUUUCUUCUAGCAAACUCUAGAAGCAGGUGAUGGAUUCAAAACACUUAUCAUAAGACAUGACUCCCUCUUUUGAAAUGUACCGGAUGGGUGGCGGAGUAUAUUAGGUUUCUCUGUUCCAACCAGCCUUCCUCUACACUGAAUGUGAGAAAUACCACACCUACACUCAACUUCCUUCUCAUUUCCUGAGCUGGUUUUUGUCCUAGUUUACACCUUCCUAGGAGAAGGUAGGCCAUUGUAUUAAGGGUUGGAAGGACUUUCCUGAGAGUGGUGUCUGAGUGUGCAGAUAAAACUCCAAACCUUCCUUCCUGUGAGCUGAGGCAGUGUUCAGAUAAUUGUAAAACAACAGUUGGCUUUUCCAGAUCUAUUGGAUUAAAUGCUAAGCCUUGCUACAUAUCGUUGACAAGAGCUGCUAUAUCUGUUAUGAUGAAUCCUUGGCUAUGCGACCUGAACCUUGAACCCAGAAAAUAAGUCCAAAAUUGGCCAGCAUCAUACAGAAAUUUAUAUGUUAUCCUUGUUUUAUUAAGAGACCCAAAGUGCUACUUUGUUUUGGUGUCUU
RNAcentral lists this long non-coding RNA (1149 nucleotides) under Marmota monax (woodchuck). Lineage: Eukaryota; Metazoa; Chordata; Mammalia; Rodentia; Sciuridae. The record is from RNAcentral.